AAUCAACGCUGGCGGCGUGCCUCAGACAUGCAAGUCGAACGAUUAAAGCUCUCUUCGGAGAGUGUAUAGAGUGGCGCACGGGUGAGUAACACGUAAGUAAUCUACCUUUGAGUGGGGAAUAACCCGGGGAAACCCGAGCUAAUACCGCAUAAUGCAGCGGCACCGCAAGGUGACAGUUGUUAAAGGAGCAAUCCGCUUAAAGAGGAGCUUGCGGCAGAUUAGCUAGNGGUAAGGUAAUGGCUUACCAAGGCUUCGAUCUGUAUCCGGCCUGAGAGGGCGGUCGGACACACUGACACUGAAUAACGGGUCAGACUCCUACGGGAGGCAGCAGUCGGGAAUUUUGGGCAAUGGGCGAAAGCCUGACCCAGCAACGCCGCGUGAAGGAUGAAGUAUUUCGGUAU
This 401-nucleotide ribosomal RNA is filed under the name uncultured bacterium. RNAcentral describes it as "bacterial SSU rRNA". It matches the Rfam family "Bacterial small subunit ribosomal RNA", at positions 32 to 424 of the family's 1533-position model. The record is from RNAcentral.